AUGGAAAGCAUGUGAUGUUGAAGUCUCCAACUAUCAGCUAAGACUCUUUCCAUAGUGAUAUGAUCUAAGCAAGUUCUUUUAGAAACUCUUAUUUUUUCUGUGCUUCUUGAGGGCCAUAACCAUUUGUCAUAACCCAUUCCUUCUUGUUUGUGGGAACUUUGUAUUUGUGUAAUGUGCUGAGGGAAACCUCUCCUUUGUGUAAACAUGUG
This 209-nucleotide long non-coding RNA is filed under the name Elaeis guineensis (African oil palm). Its description in RNAcentral is "long non-coding RNA (EGUI_LNC034099)". Lineage: Eukaryota; Viridiplantae; Streptophyta; Magnoliopsida; Arecales; Arecaceae. The record is from RNAcentral.